This 107-nucleotide small nucleolar RNA is filed under the name Gossypium barbadense (sea-island cotton). Its description in RNAcentral is "Plant small nucleolar RNA R71". It matches the Rfam family "Plant small nucleolar RNA R71". From Rfam's summary of the family: R71 is a member of the C/D box family of snoRNAs containing the C (UGAUGA) and D (CUGA) box motifs. Multiple nearly identical copies of this snoRNA have been identified in Arabidopsis, and it is thought to function as a 2'-O-ribose methylation guide for 18S ribosomal RNA. Lineage: Eukaryota; Viridiplantae; Streptophyta; Magnoliopsida; Malvales; Malvaceae. RNAcentral also lists the same sequence under 2 other names. The record is from Rfam by way of RNAcentral.
AAUCCAUGCAUUGGACAUUUCCAAAGUAGUUCUUUACAUCGGUCCCAAGCUUCAUAUAGCGUUUCAUCCUCUGUUUACCUAAAAGAUGUGAUGUUAUUUCUAAGCUU